RNAcentral lists this ribosomal RNA (429 nucleotides) under Verrucomicrobiota bacterium. Its description in RNAcentral is "Verrucomicrobia bacterium partial 16S ribosomal RNA". It matches the Rfam family "Bacterial small subunit ribosomal RNA", at positions 355 to 776 of the family's 1533-position model. The record is from RNAcentral. Lineage: Bacteria; Pseudomonadati; Verrucomicrobiota.
UAGGGAAUCUUCGGCAAUGGUGGGAACCCUGACCGAGCAACGCCGCGUGAGUGAAGAAGGUUUUCGGAUCGUAAAGCUCUGUUGUUAAGGAAGAACGAGUGUGAGAAUGGAAAGUUCAUGCUGUGACGGUACUUAACCAGAAAGGGACGGCUAACUACGUACCAGCAGCCGCGGUAAUACGUAGGUCCCGAGCGUUGUCCGGAUUUAUUGGGCGUAAAGCGAGCGCAGGCGGUUAGAAAAGUCUGAAGUGAAAGGCAGUGGCUCAACCAUUGUAGGCUUUGGAAACUGUUUAACAUGAGUGCAGAAGGGGAGAGUGGAAUUCCAUGUGUAGCGGUGAAAUGCGUAGAUAUAUGGAGGAACACCGGUGGCGAAAGCGGCUCUCUGGUCUGUAACUGACGCUGAGGCUCGAAAGCGUGGGGAGCGAACAGG